This 582-nucleotide long non-coding RNA is filed under the name Triticum aestivum (bread wheat). RNAcentral's name for it is "long non-coding RNA (TAES_LNC027941)". Lineage: Eukaryota; Viridiplantae; Streptophyta; Magnoliopsida; Poales; Poaceae. The record is from RNAcentral.
GCCUCCACCUCCGCUCCAGGCAACCCUCGGUCGCCGGCUCGCUGGAGCACGACGGCAGACGAUGGAUGCCCUGGUUGUGUGCGACGGAUGCAGUUCUUACGCGCAAGCUAGGGUUGGAGCCGCCAGCUCUUCAUCCUGCCCGCCGGCGGCGAGUCUUCCCGUCCCGCACUGCCGCCUCCCCGUUAUCACAGGUAUCUCCACCCCUUCCUCUUUCCCCCUCUUCUCUCCUCUCCCUUCUCCCUCCUCCUUCUCUAUUCCCUUCCUCCUCCCACCCCGUUACCUGUUCAUGUUGUUGGCACCUGAAGAAGUUGGUGGCAUGGUGAAGCCCCUGAGCAAAAAGUUGCAGGAGUCUUUGAAGGAGUUGGAGAAGUCUUCCUUGACAAGAUUAGAUUAAUUUCCCCACUCUGUGAUUUGGAUUGAUUUCUUGAAUUUAGCCAAACACCUUUGCUUGUGCUCCUAAUUUCCCAUCACUCUUUUUGUCACAGCAUGGUCAAAACAAUGGUGCCUUCACCCUUGCUCGUGCCUCAACCCACAUGGUCAUCUUUGAGACGUGGUAUUCAGUCACAUGACAGAGUUCUCUUU